This is a non-coding RNA of Callithrix jacchus (white-tufted-ear marmoset), 1102 nucleotides long. The record is from RefSeq and is a predicted model, not a curated record. Lineage: Eukaryota; Metazoa; Chordata; Mammalia; Primates; Cebidae.
AUGCCUGGAGGUCUGCUUCUCAGGGCGUGGCUCCUAACUUUAAGGCCAAUACCACCAUCUGCCCCAUCCAUUUCCACAACUUUCUGGGAGACUCAUGGGGCAUUCUCUUCUCCCACCCUCGGGACUUUACCCCAGUGUGCACCACAGAGCUUGGCAGAGCUGCAAAGUUGUCACCAGAAUUUGCCAAGAGGAAUGUUAAGUUGAUUGCCCUUUCAAUAGACAGCGUCGAAGACUAUCUUGCCUGGAGCAAGAUGGUGAAGAGCCCACAGAAAAAUUACCUUUUCCUAUCAUUGAUGAUAAGAAUUGGGACCCUGCCAUCCUGUUGGGCAUACUGGAUUCAGCAGAGAAGAAUGAAAAAGCCAUGCCUGUGACAGCUCAUGUGGUGUUUGGUUUUGGUCCUAAUAAGACGCUGAAGCUGUCCAUUCUCUACCCAGCUACCACUGGCAGGAACUUUGAUGAGAUUCUCAGGGUAGUCAUCUCUCUCCAGCUGACAGCAGAAAAAAGAGUUGCCACCUCAGUUGAUUGGAAGGAUGGGGAUAGUGUGAUGGUCCUUCAAACCAUCCCUGAAGAAGAAGCCAAAAAACUUUACCCAAAAGGAGUCUUCACCAAAGAGCUCCCAUCUGGCAAGAAAUACCUCCGCUACACACCCCAGCCUUAAGACUCUUGGAGAAGUUGGUGCUGUGAGCCAGAGGAUGUCAGCUGCUGGUCAUGUUUUCCUGCAGUACUUCCAUAAAAACAUCCUGGUGUCAUCACAGCCAGGUUGCUAUUCUAUUGGCUUAUUAAAUGAAAAUGGCACUAAAAGUUUCUUGGGAUUCUUUACUCUCUGCCUUCACCAGCACUAAAUUCUGUUCAUACAUCAGCUCUCUCUCUUGGUUAUCUUUGAAAUACGCUCUAUAUUUAAAACUCAAAUCUUGUUGGAUCUCUGUAGGGCUUGUGAUCAAUGAGGUCAUAUUGGUUGAUGGUUGAGAAAGCUUGCUUCACUCAAUCAGAGAAUGACUGCCAAUUUUUUUAACUGUCCCUGUCACAUCCUCUCAUUUGUUACCCAUUUUGAAGAGCAGUAGAAAUUGAGUUUCAAAUUCCUCUGUAAACAUCCAAGUAUAUA